Molecule: ribosomal RNA, 551 nt
Filed under: uncultured bacterium
Lineage: Bacteria
Description: bacterial SSU rRNA
Rfam family: Bacterial small subunit ribosomal RNA
Source: RNAcentral
UAGGGAAUCUUCCGCAAUGGACGAAAGUCUGACGGAGCAACGCCGCGUGAGUGAUGAAGGUUUUCGGAUCGUAAAGCUCUGUUGUUAGGGAAGAACAAGUGCCGUUCGAAUAGGGCGGCACCUUGACGGUACCUAACCAGAAAGCCACGGCUAACUACGUGCCAGCAGCCGCGGUAAUACGUAGGUGGCAAGCGUUGUCCGGAAUUAUUGGGCGUAAAGCGCGCGCAGGUGGUUCCUUAAGUCUGAUGUGAAAGCCCACGGCUCAACCGUGGAGGGUCAUUGGAAACUGGGGGACUUGAGUGCAGAAGAGGAAAGUGGAAUUCCAAGUGUAGCGGUGAAAUGCGUAGAUAUUUGGAGGAACACCAGUGGCGAAGGCGACUUUCUGGUCUGUAACUGACACUGAGGCGCGAAAGCGUGGGGAGCAAACAGGAUUAGAUACCCUGGUAGUCCACGCCGUAAACGAUGAGUGCUAAGUGUUAGGGGGUUUCCGCCCCUUAGUGCUGCAGCUAACGCAUUAAGCACUCCGCCUGGGGAGUACGGUCGCAAGACUG